AAAAGCUCCGCUCGCCUCAACCACCGUUUCUACCCCAGAGUCUUUCAGAUGGCCUACUGUUGGGAAAUAUAAAGUUGACUUAGCAUCAUUUGAGUCAUUGGCAUUACCUGAGUUGCAGGUCAAAGAAGAUGCUGAUCUCUUCAUCAUUGAUGAAGUUGGAAAAAUGGAGUUGUAUAGUUCAUCAUUCUUCCCUGCUGUUCUAAAAGUUCUAGAGUCAAAUGUCCCAGUUUUGGCUUCUAUCCCGAUUCCAAAAUUUGGGCGUGAUAUACCUGGAGUUGCAAGGUUGAGGAACCAUCCAGGGGCUACCAUUUUCACCUUAAGCCCAAAUAACAGGGAUGCUGUUAAAGAACUGAUCUAUAAGCAGUUGGUAGAUUCACUGCAGAAGCAUUAGAUGCUGCAUCCAUUGUGAAACUUGAAAGUCUAGUUGGAAGGGCUUGUGGAACAAAUAUCUUCAAGGUGUUCUUCUGAUGGGAUAACUUUUCUUGUUUACUUUGAUCUUGUCAUCUCAUGUUGUUACAACCUUGCUGAAGUGGAUGAAGAGUUCAAAUUAUAUUAUUUUUCAAGUGUUUUGGCAUAACUAUUCACAAAAAGAGACCAUAAAUCUCUCCCUCUGUCUCUCUUUCUAUGUAUACAUGCUUGCUAUAAUGUAGUUUCACUGGGUAAUUCUGGCUUGAGUGAGUGAUUCCUUCAACUGAACAUUCAAUGAAUGAGGAUGGAAGCAGGAUGAUAUAUGGC
Molecule: unclassified non-coding RNA, 735 nt
Filed under: Hevea brasiliensis (rubber tree)
Lineage: Eukaryota; Viridiplantae; Streptophyta; Magnoliopsida; Malpighiales; Euphorbiaceae
Source: RNAcentral